RNAcentral lists this ribosomal RNA (445 nucleotides) under uncultured bacterium. Its description in RNAcentral is "partial 16S ribosomal RNA". It matches the Rfam family "Bacterial small subunit ribosomal RNA", at positions 354 to 796 of the family's 1533-position model. The record is from RNAcentral.
GUGAGGAAUAUUGGUCAAUGGGCGAGAGCCUGAACCAGCCAAGUCGCGUGAAGGAAGAAGGAUCUAUGGUUCGUAAACUUCUUUUGCAGGGGAAUAAAGUGCAGGACGUGUCCUGUUUUGUAUGUACCCUGAGAAUAAGGAUCGGCUAACUCCGUGCCAGCAGCCGCGGUAAUACGGAGGAUCCGAGCGUUAUCAGGAUUUAUUGGGUUUAAAGGGUGCGUAGGUGGUUUGAGAAGUCAGCGGUGAAAGUUUGCAGCUUAACUGUAAAAAUGCCGUUGAAACUGUCGGACUUGAGUGUAAAUGAGGUAUGCGGAAUGCGUGGUGUAGCGGUGAAAUGCAUAGAUAUCACGCAGAACUCCGAUUGCGAAGGCAGCUUACUAAGCUACAACUGACACUGAAGCACGAAAGCGUGGGGAUCAAACAGGAUUAGAAACCCUGGUAGUCC